Callithrix jacchus (white-tufted-ear marmoset) is the source of this 1701-nucleotide long non-coding RNA. The record is from Ensembl. NCBI's taxonomy places the organism in Eukaryota, Metazoa, Chordata, Mammalia, Primates, Cebidae.
CUCCUACUUCCCCUCCUCCUCCUUUCUCUCCUCCUCCUCCAGCUCCUCCUCCUUCCUCUCCUCCUCCUCUUCCUUCCUCACUUUCUCCUCCUCCUUUUCUUCCUCCUUUCUCUCUUCCUCCUCCUCCUUCUUCCUCUCUUCCUCCUCAUUCCUCCUUUCUCCUCCUGCUCCUUCUCCUCCAUCCUCUCUCUCUUCCUCCUGCUCCUCAGCCUCCCUCUUUUCCUCCUCCUCCCUAUCUUUCUCCUCCUUCUUCCUCUCUUCCUCUUCCUCCUUUCUCUCUUCCUCCUCAUUCCUCCUUCCUCCUCCUGCUCCUUCUCCUCCAUCCUCUUUCUCUUCCUCCUGUUCUUCCUCCUCCCUUUUCCUCCUCCUCUUCCUCCUCCCUUUUCCUCCUCCUCCUCCUUCUUCUCUUUCUCUUCCUCCUGCUCCUCCUCCUCCCUCUUUUCCUCCUCCUCCCUCUCUUCCUCCUCCUCCUUUUUCUCUUCCUCCUCUUCCUUCCUCUCUUACUUCUCCUCCUCCUCCCUGUCCUCCUCCUCCCUCUCCUCCUCCCUGUCCUCCUUUUCCCUCUCCUCCUCCUCCCUCUCCUCCUUUUCCCUCUCCUCCUCCUCCCUCUCCUCCUUUUCUCUCUCCUCCUCCUCCCUCUCCUCCUCCUCCAGCUCCUCCUUUUCUCUCUCCUCCUCCUCCUCCCUCUCCUCCUCCCUCUCCUCCUUUUCCCUCUCCUCCUCCUCCCUCUCCUCCUUUUCUCUCUCCUCCUCCCUCCCCUCCUCCUCCAGCUCCUCCUCCUCCCUCUCCUCCUCCCUGUCCUCCUCCUCCCUCUCCUCCUUUUCUCUCUCUCUCCUCCUCCUCCCUCUCCUCCUCCCUGUCCUCCUUUUCCCUCUCCUCCUCCUCCCUCUCCUCCUUUUCUCUCUCCUCCUUUUCCCUCUCCUCCUCCUCCCUCUCCUCCUUUUCUCUCUCCUCCUCCCUCCCCUCCUCCUCCAGCUCCUCCUCCUCCCUCUCCUCCUCCCUGUCCUCCUCCUCCCUCUCCUCCUUUUCUCUCUCUCUCCUCCUCCUCCCUCUCCUCCUCCCUGUCCUCCUUUUCCCUCUCCUCCUCCUCCCUCUCCUCCUUUUCUCUCUCCUCCUUUUCUCUCUCCUCCUCCUCCCUCCCCUCCUCCUCCCUCUCCUCCUCCUCCCUCUCCUCCUCCUCCCUCCCCUCCUCCUCCCUCCCCUCCUCCUCCCUCUCCUCCUCCUCCCUCCCCUCCUCCUCCCUCCCCUCCUCCUCCCUCCCCUCCUCCUCCCUCCCCUCCUCCUCCCUCUCCUCCUCCUCCCUCCCCUCCUCCUCCCUCUCCUCCUCCUCCCUCCCCUCCUCCUCCCUCCCCUCCUCCUCCCUCCCCUCCUCCUCCCUCUCCUCCUCCUCCCUCUCCUCCUCCUCCCUCCCCUCCUCCUCCCUCCCCUCCUCCUCCCUCUCCUCCUCCUCCCUCUCCUCCUCCUCCCUCUCCUCCUCCUCCUCAUCCUCCCUCUCCUGCUGGGAAGAGCAUUAAAUGGAACUUGAGAUCUUCCCCCCACUAUGCCCAGCCCUUCUUUCUAACUGCCUGUGGAAGAGUAUUUUGUGUUUGCAGUAUUUACCGAAGACUAAAAAUUGGUUUGGAGGCAGCUUCUACCUUCUCUUCUACCUCUCUAGUUAGUGGUAAUUUGGGUGCGAGAAUUGUAGGGCAUAGAUUAGUCUAG